GAUGAACGCUAGCGAUAGGCCUAACACAUGCAAGUCGAGGGGCAUCACAUGAAGUAGCAAUACGGAUGGUGGCGACCGGCGCACGGGUGAGUAACACGUAUGCAACCUGCCUUCAACAAGGGGAUAACCCGUUGAAAGACGGACUAAUACCCUAUAACACAGGGGUCCCGCAUGGGAAUAUUUGUUAAAGGACAACCGGUUGAAGAUGGGCAUGCGUUCCAUUAGCUAGUUGGCGGGGUAACGGCCCACCAAGGCAACGAUGGAUAGGGGAACUGAGAGGUUUAUCCCCCACACUGGUACUGAGACACGGACCAGACUCCUACGGGAGGCAGCAGUGAGGAAUAUUGGUCAAUGGACGCAAGUCUGAACCAGCCACGUCGCGUGAAGGAAGACGGCCCUACGGGUUGUAAACUUCUUUUAUACGGGAAUAAAUGCCCCACGCGUGGGGUUUUGCAUGUACCGUAUGAAUAAGGAUCGGCU
RNAcentral lists this ribosomal RNA (480 nucleotides) under uncultured bacterium. RNAcentral describes it as "bacterial SSU rRNA". It matches the Rfam family "Bacterial small subunit ribosomal RNA", at positions 28 to 498 of the family's 1533-position model. The record is from RNAcentral.